GAUGAAGAACGUAGUGAAAUGCGAUACUUGGUGUGAAUUGCAGAAUCCCGUGAACCAUCGAGUCUUUGAACGCAAGUUGCGCCCGAAGCCAUCAGGUUGAGGGCACGUCUGCCUGGGCGUCACAUAUCGUUGUCCAAUGCCUAUUGCAGUGCAAUAGGAAUUUCUAGGGCGAAUGAUGGCUUCCCGUGAGCGUUGUUGCCUCGCGGUUGGUUGAAAAUCGAGUCCUUGGUAGGGUGUGCCAUGGUAGAUGGUGGUCGAGUUAGAACGAUACCGAUCAUGUGCAUGCUCCCCAAAAUAUGGCCUCUAUGACCCACACGCGUCUUUUGACGCUCAUGACGAGACCUCAGGUCAGGCGGGGCUACCCGCUGAAUUUAAGCAUAUCAAUAAGCGGAGGA
RNAcentral lists this unclassified non-coding RNA (395 nucleotides) under soil metagenome. RNAcentral's name for it is "partial contains 5.8S ribosomal RNA, internal transcribed spacer 2, and large subunit ribosomal RNA". The stretch from base 1 to 122 matches the Rfam family "5.8S ribosomal RNA", at positions 35 to 154 of the family's 154-position model. The record is from RNAcentral.